Molecule: small RNA, 589 nt
Filed under: Pongo abelii (Sumatran orangutan)
Lineage: Eukaryota; Metazoa; Chordata; Mammalia; Primates; Hominidae
Description: retained intron
Source: RNAcentral
CUUUGAGAUCAAUUAUGUAAGAAAGGAACACCACCUGGUCCCUGGCUUGUCCCUCACGGUCACCGUUAAGUUUUCUCCAGAUGAGUGGCGAUACUAUUAUGACUGCAUCCGUAUUCACUGUAAGCAAAACUUAUGUUAUUCCUUUGCAGUGCAGCUGCCCUGUAGAUUUUGAGUUCUAUAUCACUUUGAUUCAGUCUCAUCAAGCCUUUGCUAUUGAGCCAACAUCAGGAAUAAUUCCAGCUAAUGGGAAGAUGGCUGUGACUAUUAAGUUUACACCCUUUCAGUAUGGGACUGCACAAAUAAAAAUGCAGUUAUGGAUUUCACAGUUCAACUCUCAACCAUACGAAUGUGUCUUCACUGGAACAUGCUAUCCCAACAUGGCCUUACCGUAUGGCGUCUUUUCAGUGUUUUUGUUUAUUCUUAACCAUUUUUCGAAAAUCCAAGUCUUCCUUUCUUCCAUUCUGUCUUUCUUGUAAAAGAAUGUCAUCAAAAACUUAUUUAAAAUGAUGAGCCAACAUAAAAUAUACUUUAAAACUUAACAGAAAUAUAGAACAUAUCUAUGCUAGUAGCAGGAGUUGCUUCUGACAAG